GAUGAACGCUGGCGGCGUGCCUAAUACAUGCAAGUCGAGCGGACAGACGAGGAGCUUGCUCCUCUGACGUUAGCGGCGGACGGGUGAGUAACACGUGGAUAACCUACCUAUAAUUCUGGGAUAACUUCGGGAAACCGGAGCUAAUACCGGAUAAUAUCUUGAACCGCAUGGGUCAAUAGUGAAAGACGGUUUUGCUGGCACGUCUAGAUGGAUCCGGGCCGCAUUGGCUAGUUGGUAAGUUAACGGCUUACCAAGGCAACGAUGCGUAGACGACCUGAGAGAGUGGUAGGCGACCCUGGAGCGUGACCACCGUCCAUGGGCCUACGGGACGCAGCAGUAGGGUACCUGCCGCAGUGGUCGAGAGUAUGGCGGAGCGGGCCGGAGUGUGUGAUGGAGGUCCUGCGAUCGUAAUACCGUGUUAUUAGGGGAAAACAAAUGUGGAAGGAGAUGUGGACGGCUUGACGGUACCGAGUAAGAAAGCCCCGGCUAACUACGUG
Molecule: ribosomal RNA, 497 nt
Filed under: uncultured bacterium
Lineage: Bacteria
Description: partial 16S ribosomal RNA
Rfam family: Bacterial small subunit ribosomal RNA
Source: RNAcentral